UACGUAGGGUGCGAGCGUUACUCGGAAUUACUGGGCGUAAAGCGUGCGCAGGCGGUUCGUUAUGUCCGAUGUGAAAGCCCCGAGCUCAACUUGGGAAUGGCAUUGGAAACUGGCGGGCUGGAGUGUGGCAGAGGGGGGUGGAAUUCCACGUGUAGCAGUGAAAUGCGUAGAUAUGCGGAGGAACACCGAUGGCGAAGGCAAUCCCCUGGGCCUGCACUGACGCUCAUGCACGAAAGCGUGGGGAGCAAACAGG
RNAcentral lists this ribosomal RNA (253 nucleotides) under uncultured bacterium. RNAcentral describes it as "partial 16S ribosomal RNA". It matches the Rfam family "Bacterial small subunit ribosomal RNA", at positions 524 to 776 of the family's 1533-position model. The record is from RNAcentral.